This 305-nucleotide ribosomal RNA is filed under the name uncultured bacterium. RNAcentral's name for it is "bacterial SSU rRNA". It matches the Rfam family "Bacterial small subunit ribosomal RNA", at positions 335 to 638 of the family's 1533-position model. The record is from RNAcentral.
GUCCUACGGGAGGCAGCAGUGAGGAAUAUUGGUCAAUGGUCGGGAGACUGAACCAGCCAAGCCGCGUGAGGGAGGAAGGUACAGAGUAUCGUAAACCUCUUUUGUCAGGGAACAAAGACUGGGACGCGUCCCCGGAUGAGUGUACCUGAAGAAAAAGCAUCGGCUAACUCCGUGCCAGCAGCCGCGGUAAUACGGAGGAUGCGAGCGUUAUCCGGAUUUAUUGGGUGUAAAGGGAGCGCAGGCGGGAAGCCAAGUCAGCUGUGAAAACUACGGGCUUAACUUGUAGACUGCAGUUGAAACUGGUU